This 383-nucleotide ribosomal RNA is filed under the name uncultured bacterium. RNAcentral's name for it is "bacterial SSU rRNA". It matches the Rfam family "Bacterial small subunit ribosomal RNA", at positions 772 to 1159 of the family's 1533-position model. The record is from RNAcentral.
ACGCAAUAGAUACCCCGGUAGUCCACGCCCUAAACGAUGUCUACUAGUUGUCGGGUCUUAAUUGACUUGGUAAACGCAGCUAAACGCGUGAAGUAGACCGCCUGGGGAGUACGGUCGCAAGAUUAAAACUCAAAGGAAUUGACGGGGACCCGCACAAGCGGUGGAUGAUGUGGAUUAAUUCGAUGCAACGCGAAAAACCUUACCUACCCUUGACAUGGAAGGAAUCCCUGAGAGAUUGGGGAGUGCUCGAAAGAGAACCUUUACACAGGUGCUGCAUGGCUGUCGUCAGCUCGUGUCGUGAGAUGUUGGGUUAAGUCCCGCAACGAGCGCAACCCUUGUCAUUAGUUGCUACGAAAGGGCACUCUAAUGAGACUGCCGGUGAC